UACGUAGGGGGCGAGCGUUGUCCGGAAUUAUUGGGCGUAAAGGGCGUGUAGGCGGUUCCGUAAGUUGGAUGUUAAAGGUAUGGGCUCAACUCAUACAUCGCAUUCAAUACUGCGGUUCUAGAGAUUGGUAGAGGAAAACGGAACUUCCGGUGUAGCGGUGAAAUGCGUAGAUAUCGGAAGGAACACCAGUGGCGAAGGCGGUUUUCUGGGCCAAUUCUGACGCUGAGGCGCGAAAGCUAGGGGAGCAAACAGG
RNAcentral lists this ribosomal RNA (253 nucleotides) under uncultured bacterium. Its description in RNAcentral is "partial 16S ribosomal RNA". It matches the Rfam family "Bacterial small subunit ribosomal RNA", at positions 524 to 776 of the family's 1533-position model. The record is from RNAcentral.